AGAGUUUGAUCCUGGCUCAGGAUGAACGCUAGCGGCAGGCUUAACACAUGCAAGUCGAGGGGCAGCGCGGUUGUAGCAAUACAACUGGCGGCGACCGGCGAAAGGGUGCGUAACGCGUGAGCGACAUGCCCGUCACCGGGGUAUAACCGAUGGAAACGUCGACUAAUCCCCCAUAACAUCAGAGGAGGCAUCUUCUUUGGUUGAAAUUCACGGAGGUGACGGAUUGGCUCGCGUCUGAUUAGCUAGUCGGCGGGGUAACGGCCCACCGAGGCUACGAUCAGUAGGGGUUCUGAGAGGAAGGUCCCCCACAAUGGAACUGAGACACGGUCCAUACUCCUACGGGAGGCAGCAGUGAGGAAUAUUGGUCAAUGGGCGGAAGCCUGAACCAGCCAUGCCGCGUGCAGGACGACGGCCCUAUGGGUUGUAAACUGCUUUUGCUGCGGAGCAAUAAGGGCCUCGUGCAGGUCCGAUGAGAGUACGCAGCGAACAAGCAUCGGCUAACUCCGUGCCAGCAGCCGCGGUAAUACGGAGGAUGCGAGCGUUAUCCGGAUUUAUUGGGUUUAAAGGGUGCGUAGGCUGUGCGUUAAGUCAGGGGUGAAAUGCCGUCGCUCAACGACGGAGCUGCCCUUGAUACUGGCGUGCUGGAGUACGGAUGCCGUUGGAGGAAUGAGUGGUGUAGCGGUGAAAUGCUUAGAUAUCACUCAGAACACCGAUUGCGAAGGCAUCUGACGAAUCCGUCACUGACGCUGAGGCACGAAAGCGUGGGGAUAGAACAGGAUUAGAUACCCUGGUAUUCCACGCCGUAAACGAUGAUGACUAACCGUCGGCGAUAGACAGCCGGUGGCCAAGCGAAAGCGAUAAGUCAUCCACCUGGGGAGUACGUCGGCAACGAUGAAACUCAAAGGAAUUGACGG
Molecule: ribosomal RNA, 914 nt
Filed under: uncultured bacterium
Lineage: Bacteria
Description: bacterial SSU rRNA
Rfam family: Bacterial small subunit ribosomal RNA
Source: RNAcentral